GAUGAACGCUGGCGGCGUGCCUAACACAUGCAAGUCGAACGAACAGACGAGGAGCUUGCUCCUCUGACGUUAGCGGCGGACGGGUGAGUAACACGUGGAUAACAUCCCUUUAAGACUGGGCUAAUUUCGGGAGACCGGAGCUAAUACCGCGUAAUAUAUUCAACCGCAUAUUUCAAUAGUGCAUGUCGGUUUUGCCGACACUUAUAGAUUGAUCCAGGCCGCAUUAGCUAGUUGGUGAGGUGACGGCUUACCAAGGCAACGGUGCGUAGCCGGCCUGAGAGGGUGAUCGGCCACACUGGAACUGAGACACGGUCCAGACUCCUACGGGAGGCAGCAGUCGGGAAUCUUACGCAAUGGGCGAAAGCCUGACGGUGCAACACCGCGUGAGUGAUGAAGGUCUUCGGCUCGGAAAGCUCUGUUAUUAGGGAAGAACAAAUGUGUAAGUAAAUAUGAACGUCUUGACGGUACCUAAUCAGAAAGCCCCGGCUAACUACGUG
RNAcentral lists this ribosomal RNA (497 nucleotides) under uncultured bacterium. RNAcentral's name for it is "partial 16S ribosomal RNA". It matches the Rfam family "Bacterial small subunit ribosomal RNA", at positions 28 to 507 of the family's 1533-position model. The record is from RNAcentral.